AGGACGAACGCUGGCGGCGUGCUUAACACAUGCAAGUCGAGCGGAAAGGCCCUUCGGGGUACUCGAGCGGCGAACGGGUGAGUAACACGUGAGUAACCUGCCCUAGACUUUGGGAUAACCCUCGGAAACGGGGGCUAAUACCGGAUAUGACGACUCACCGCAUGGUGUGGUUGUGGAAAGUUUUUCGGUUUGGGAUGGGCUCGCGGACUAUCAGCUUGUUGGUGGGGUGAUGGCCUACCAAGGCGACGACGGUUAGCCCGGCCUGAGAGGGCGACCGGCCACGACUGGGACUGAGACACGGCCCAGACUCCUACGGGAGGCAGCAGUGGGAAUAUUGCACAAUGGGCGAAGCCUGAUGCAGCGACGCCGCGUGAGGGAUGACGGCUUCGGGUGUAAACCUCUUUCAGCAGGGACGAAGCGAGAGUGACGUACCUGCAGAAGAAGCGCGCACACGUGCAGCAGCCGC
This 466-nucleotide ribosomal RNA is filed under the name uncultured soil bacterium. Its description in RNAcentral is "bacterial SSU rRNA". It matches the Rfam family "Bacterial small subunit ribosomal RNA", at positions 26 to 518 of the family's 1533-position model. The record is from RNAcentral.